Long non-coding RNA from Canis lupus familiaris (dog), 242 nucleotides. RefSeq lists it as uncharacterized. The record is from RefSeq and is a predicted model, not a curated record. The transcript is spliced from 2 exons. NCBI's taxonomy places the organism in Eukaryota, Metazoa, Chordata, Mammalia, Carnivora, Canidae.
CCUACACUUCCAUACACUCCCACUUGAAUCACCUGCUGACAAUUCAAUCCCUUCGAGGCGGAGCAGGGGGGAUCAGAGCACCUACGAAUUUGGUCUGUAACACGUGACACAUUUGGAUGCUGAAUCAUCGCACUUCUGCACAGCAAAUGUAAAACCCCUGGCUGAAAAAAAAAAAAAAAAUUCAAGAAGAAAAAGGCAAGAGGCAACCUGCCCUUGAAGCAAGUGGAAGAAAAGGAUGAAAA